AUGCAGAUGAUUGAUUUAUAGAUGUCUAUCCAGAUAGAUAGAUAGAUAGAUAAGAUAGAUAAGAUAGACAGAUAGACAUAAAUUCUUAAAAACUUGAAAAGUUGGGAGG
Long non-coding RNA from Sapajus apella (tufted capuchin), 109 nucleotides. RefSeq lists it as uncharacterized. The transcript is spliced from 3 exons. Lineage: Eukaryota; Metazoa; Chordata; Mammalia; Primates; Cebidae. The record is from RefSeq and is a predicted model, not a curated record.